CACGCCUGCAACUAUAAGUAUACCAAUGAGAUUGUAAAUCAGGGCAAAAACAAAAUUUAUUCUUAUUCUUUUCACAGUCUUGCGCGAUAAGUCAAUGCUGGCGACAACAUCCAGGAGAUCAUUCCGUAUAAGCACCACGUCUGCAGCUUCAAUGGCUACAUCUGUCCCGGUCCCUAUGGCAAUCCCCACAUUGGCCAUGGCCAGAGCAGGAGAGUCAUUUAUUCCAUCGC
This is a long non-coding RNA of Bufo bufo (common toad), 230 nucleotides long. RefSeq lists it as uncharacterized. The record is from RefSeq and is a predicted model, not a curated record. The transcript is spliced from 3 exons. Lineage: Eukaryota; Metazoa; Chordata; Amphibia; Anura; Bufonidae.